This 367-nucleotide ribosomal RNA is filed under the name uncultured organism. Its description in RNAcentral is "bacterial LSU rRNA". It matches the Rfam family "Bacterial large subunit ribosomal RNA", at positions 2099 to 2465 of the family's 2925-position model. The record is from RNAcentral.
CUUUACUAUAGCGUGUCAUUGAAACUUUAUUUUUGUUGCUUAGUAUAGGUGGGAGACUUUGAUGCUACUCUUCCGGGAGUAGCGGAGUCGAAAUGUGAAAUACCACCCUGCACAGACGAAUUUUUUAACCAAGGCUUAACCUACUUUGGGACAGUGACUCGUGGGUAGUUUAACUGGGGCGGUUGCCUCCUAAAUGGUAACGGAGGCGUUUAUUAAGGUAGGCUAGGCGCGGAUGGAAAUCGCGCUGGUAGUGCAAACGCAUAAGCCUGCUUGACUGCAAGAGUGGCAACUCGCGCAGGUACGAAAGUAGAAGUUAGUGAUCCGAUGCGUUCGAGUGGAAGACGCAAAGCCCAGCGGAUAAAAGUUA